This 253-nucleotide ribosomal RNA is filed under the name uncultured bacterium. Its description in RNAcentral is "partial 16S ribosomal RNA". It matches the Rfam family "Bacterial small subunit ribosomal RNA", at positions 524 to 776 of the family's 1533-position model. The record is from RNAcentral.
UACGCAGGGGACUAGCGUUGUUCGGAUUUACUGGGCGUAAAGCGCGCGUAGGCGGAUCGCUAAGUCAGGGGUGAAAUCCCAGGGCUCAACCCUGGAACUGCCUUUGAUACUGACGAUCUGGAGAUCGGGAGAGGUUGGUGGAAUUCCGAGUGUAGAGGUGAAAUUCGUAGAUAUUCGGAGGAACACCAGAAGCGAAGGCGGCCAACUGGCCCGAUACUGACGCUGAGGCGCGAAAGCGUGGGGAGCAAACAGG